Molecule: ribosomal RNA, 407 nt
Filed under: uncultured eukaryote
Lineage: Eukaryota
Description: SSU rRNA
Rfam family: Eukaryotic small subunit ribosomal RNA
Source: RNAcentral
CCAGCAGCCGCGGUAAUUCCAGCUCCAAUAGCGUAUAUUAAAGUUGUUGCAGUUAAAAAGCUCGUAGUUGAACUUCUGUAUGUGUCCAGUUCUGGCUUCGGUCAAGCUGUGAUGCAUGCAUCCGCUUGCAAAUCUGGACCGGUCUUCACUGAUCGACCAGGGGAGUAGGCUUUUUACUUUGAAAAAAUUAGAGUGUUUCAAGCAGGCAAUGGCUCGAAUACAUUAGCAUGGAAUAAUGGAAUAGGACUUUUGUCCAUUUGGUUGGUUAUUGGACAUGAGUAAUGAUUAACAGGGACAGUUGGGGGCAUUAGUAUUUAAUUGUCAGAGGUGAAAUUCUUGGAUUUAUUAAAGACUAACUUAUGCGAAAGCAUUUGCCAAGGAUGUUUUCAUUAAUCAAGAACGAAAGU